UUCAAUGAAUGAAACAGCGCCCCCUGGAUUGCAGUACUAAGUAAAUGAUAGCAUCCUGUAUGCCAUUUAAGCCCGUGCGGUGACAGGUGGUAUUGCAGCGCAGAGCACCUGAGGAGCUCGCGUCAGAACCACAGGUGAAGCUGGCAUCUUAUUAACUUCUCUCUACUGUAAAUGGACCAAAACACUGGGCUUUAUGUGACGCAUUUUACUCAAAUCACAUAUAUAUUUUACUAAGUACUUGAAAUUACGUAAAGUGGGUGAUUAAAACGUUUUCCAGUAGCAAUAAUGGUGUCGGCUACUUUUGAGAGACCUCUUUGCUAGCCGACGUUAGCUGGUAAAAAUCCAACCACAGGAACCGGGCCUAGCUGUGCACCACCGGCGACGAAGAAACGAGGACCAAGUUGGAGCACAUGACAGGAAAGACCUGGACAUUAACUUUCACCGGACAAGAAGUGCAGAGACGAAAUAUUAUCUGGACACGUGGAGGACAGGUCUUCAAACACGAAUGAGGUGGCGAGAGACGGAGGGAGACGGCUUGGAAGGCAGAGGACGACGGGCUUGCAGACAGUGAGACAGUCUCUUCUGGGCAUAGACUCAGAGUUUAACCUCCUCAAAGUCAAUUUAGCUCCCUACUCUCUCCUUCUUUCUUUCUUUUCACUUCUCUACUUUCUCUCUCCUUCCCUGUGCUCAGCAUACCCCCAUUCUUCUCCGUCUGCCCUUUUAUUUCCUGUCUCUUGACUCCCCUGCAACUUCCACUGCCCUCUGUCUCAGUCAGUGGGGGGCUGCUCUUCUCCUGGGGCCCAAGAUGCAGAGCUCAAUCUCUUCUGUGUCCUCCACUA
This is a long non-coding RNA of Mugil cephalus (flathead mullet), 839 nucleotides long. RefSeq lists it as uncharacterized. The transcript has 3 exons. Lineage: Eukaryota; Metazoa; Chordata; Actinopteri; Mugiliformes; Mugilidae. The record is from RefSeq and is a predicted model, not a curated record.